RNAcentral lists this non-coding RNA (29 nucleotides) under Mus musculus (house mouse). Lineage: Eukaryota; Metazoa; Chordata; Mammalia; Rodentia; Muridae. The record is from RNAcentral.
UGACAGGCGUUCAGUGCUACCGCUCCCCA